AAGUCGUAACAAGGUUUCCGUAGGUGAACCUGCGGAAGGAUCAUUAACACUUUUUGUUGAUUGUUGGUUUUUUCUUAUAAAAACCGACAACCACAAUUAUCCUAUCCAAACUGAAGAGCUUGUGAGCAGUGUGCUUUUCUUGUCUCUUUCGAGACAAAAAGCUGUGCUCCCAUUUUCUCACUUUUUUCCUUUUUCCAAUUUAAACAAAAACCCCAAUCACACAAAUCUAAAUCAUUUGUGAGAUUGCAAACAAUCAAUUUGCUAUCUUGACAAUCUAAAAAACAUCUAUUAAGAGAUUUACAUCUCAAAAUGUAACCAAACAACUCUUAACAACGGAUAUCUUGGCUCUC
Molecule: unclassified non-coding RNA, 350 nt
Filed under: fungal sp.
Lineage: Eukaryota; Fungi
Description: partial internal transcribed spacer region
Rfam family: Eukaryotic small subunit ribosomal RNA (bases 1-46)
Source: RNAcentral